RNAcentral lists this ribosomal RNA (484 nucleotides) under uncultured bacterium. RNAcentral describes it as "partial 16S ribosomal RNA". It matches the Rfam family "Bacterial small subunit ribosomal RNA", at positions 30 to 507 of the family's 1533-position model. The record is from RNAcentral.
AUUGAACGCUGGCGGCAGGCCUAACACAUGCAAGUCGAGCGGAUGAAGGGAGCUUGCUCCUGGAUUCAGCGGCGGACGGGUGAGUAAUGCCUAGGAAUCUGCCUGGUAGUGGGGGCUAACGUCCGGAAACGGGCGCUAAUACCGCAUACGUCCUGAGGGUGAAAGGGGGGGAUCUUCGGACCUCACGCUAUCAGAUGAGCCUAGGUCGGAUUAGCUAGUUGGUGGGGUAAAGGCCUACCAAGGCGACGAUCCGUAACUGGUCUGAGUGGAUGAUCAGUCACACUGGAACUGAGACACGGUCCAGACUCCUACGGGAGGCAGCAGUGGGGAAUAUUGGACAAAGGGCGAAAGCCUGAUCCAGCCAUGCCGCGUGUGUGAAGAAGGUCUUCGGAUUGUAAAGCACUUUAAGUUGGGAGGAAGGGCAGUAAGUUAAUACCUUGCUGUUUUGACGUUACCAACAGAAUAAGCACCGGCUAACUUCGUG